This 567-nucleotide long non-coding RNA is filed under the name Homo sapiens (human). RNAcentral describes it as "non-protein coding lnc-SNRPN-1:16". Lineage: Eukaryota; Metazoa; Chordata; Mammalia; Primates; Hominidae. The record is from RNAcentral.
CCUGGAUAGAGCUGGAGACCAUUUAACUGCUGUAUGAAUAAUAGAUAAGCGUCUUGAAUAACAUCUGAAUUUCCUAGUUGUCAUGUCAACCCUCCUAUCUGCGGGUUUUGCAUCUGCAAGCACAUGCAGCUGGAAAGUACAGCAUUGGCAGAAUCUGAAACCCGAGUAAAGAGCACCUCAUUUUCAUAACCAUGGGUUCUGAAGAGCUAAGGGAGUUGAGGAUGCACCGAUUUUGGUAUGGGGGUACGGUACAGGUACAAAUCCCCGAUGGAUAUCACUAGACAACUGUACAAUCCUCUUUAGCUUUUUUUUUGUUUUAUAGACAGUGUGGACGUGCAUAUAUUGCAAGCAUCACUUUGUUAAACUAUGCUUAACCCUGCAAAUGAUUUUAAGAGCUCUGUGUGGGUGGCUUUCUUGGGUUUACUAUUAAAUAUCUGUGUUUAUCAUAGUUGUUCUAUAACAUUUCAACUUUGUAAAUAUGUAGUUUGUUGAUAAAGAGGAUAGAGACAUUUUUCUUUUGUUGAUAGAUUGUUCUUUCCCCUUUGCUUAGUCUUCAUUGUGUUGCUG